RNAcentral lists this ribosomal RNA (484 nucleotides) under uncultured bacterium. RNAcentral's name for it is "partial 16S ribosomal RNA". It matches the Rfam family "Bacterial small subunit ribosomal RNA", at positions 29 to 507 of the family's 1533-position model. The record is from RNAcentral.
AUUGAACGCUGGCGGCAUGCUUUACACAUGCAAGUCGAACGGCAGCGCGGGCUUCGGCCUGGCGGCGAGUGGCGAACGGGUGAGUAAUGCAUCGGAACGUGCCCAGUAGUGGGGGAUAGCCCGGCGAAAGCCGGAUUAAUACCGCAUACGACCUGAGGGUGAAAGCGGGGGACCGAAAGGCCUCGCGCUAUUGGAGCGGCCGAUGUCGGAUUAGCUAGUUGGUGGGGUAAAGGCUUACCAAGGCGACGAUCCGUAGCUGGUCUGAGAGGACGACCAGCCACACUGGGACUGAGACACGGCCCAGACUCCUACGGGAGGCAGCAGUGGGGAAUUUUGGACAAUGGGGGCAACCCUGAUCCAGCCAUGCCGCGUGCGGGAAGAAGGCCUUCGGGUUGUAAAACGCUUUUGUUCGGGAAGAAAACCUCUGGGCUAAUACCCCGGGGGGAUGACGGUACCGGAAGAAUAAGCACCGGCUAACUACGUG